This is a non-coding RNA of Callithrix jacchus (white-tufted-ear marmoset), 47 nucleotides long. The record is from Rfam. NCBI's taxonomy places the organism in Eukaryota, Metazoa, Chordata, Mammalia, Primates, Cebidae.
CCACAGGCUCUUCUCAGAGCCCCAUCCAAGACAGAAUCCCAAACCAG